This 211-nucleotide ribosomal RNA is filed under the name uncultured bacterium. RNAcentral describes it as "partial 16S ribosomal RNA". It matches the Rfam family "Bacterial small subunit ribosomal RNA", at positions 524 to 719 of the family's 1533-position model. The record is from RNAcentral.
UACAGAGGUCCCAAGCGUUGUUUCGGAUUCACUGGGCGUAAAGGGGUGCGUUAAGGCGGUCAGGUAAAGUUCUGAUGUGAAAUCUCUGGGCUUAACCCAGGAAAUGGCAUUGGAUACUAUUUGGCUUGAGAGUUGGAGGGGGGGACUGGAAUUCUUGGUGUAGCAGUGAAAAUGCGUAGAUAUCAAAGGAGGGAAACACCCAGUGGGCGAA